GACGAACGCUGGCGGCGUGCCUAAUACAUGCAAGUCGAACGCUUCUUUCCUCCCGAGUGCUUGCACUCAAUUGGAAAGAGGAGUGGCGGACGGGUGAGUAACACGUGGGUAACCUACCCAUCAGAGGGGGAUAACACUUGGAAACAGGUGCUAAUACCGCAUAACAGUUUAUGCCGCAUGGCAUAAGAGUGAAAGGCGCUUUCGGGUGUCGCUGAUGGAUGGACCCGCGGUGCAUUAGCUAGUUGGUGAGGUAACGGCUCACCAAGGCCACGAUGCAUAGCCGACCGGAGAGGGUGAUCGGCCACACUGGGACUGAGACACGGCCCAGACUCCUACGGGAGGCAGCAGUAGGGAAUCUUCGGCAAAGGACGAAAGUCUGACCGAGCAACGCCGCGUGAGUGAAGAAGGUGUUCGGAUCGUAAAACUCUGUUGUUAGAGAAGAACAAGGACGUUAGUAACUGAACGUCGCCUGACGGUAUCUAACCAGAAAGCCACGGCUAACUACGUG
Molecule: ribosomal RNA, 508 nt
Filed under: uncultured bacterium
Lineage: Bacteria
Description: partial 16S ribosomal RNA
Rfam family: Bacterial small subunit ribosomal RNA
Source: RNAcentral